CAAAUAGGGACCGAUGAUUCAUGCAGCAUGAAGACAAUUAUCAGCGACGAAUGACUCCUUCCUAUUCCUCUUACUCUUGUCAUUGUUUAGUAAUGUAAAGAAUCUGUCUCAGAGAAGUGACCGUAGAGCCAUGAUGUGCUCUGAGAGAAUGAAGUCAGGCUAGGGAAAUACUCCUAAACCGGGGAAAUCAGUCAAAUUAGAAAUGGGGUUUUGUAACAAAUUUAUAGCUGAGUGAGUGGAAUACACAAUGACCUUACCUGGUGGGGAUCUUCUCAAACAUUCCCACCAUAAACUCAUGCAGGUCAACAGAGCAGGAAAUUGGGGGGUUUGGGGGGAGGUGGCGCACACGUGAAGGCAAAGACAGGAAGAAGGGAACAGGAAGGACAGGUGAAGAAAGAUGAGAUUUCCAUAAACAGGAAAUAACCGUACGGUCACUUUACCUCUUAAAUCUUAUGUGGAGACAAGCAGAAAACCCCACUCCCAACCAAGAGAGAGGACCUACCUUCCCUCAUCCGGUUUAAUCCUGAUAAAUACCCAACUCAGAUGAAGAAUGAAGCCCAGAGGACCUAAGGGGUUUAUUAAGUUCAUUAUUCAGGGGCUGCAGAAUGCAUCUAAAUAAAGGGAAACUAAUUAAUGAAUCAGGCUGCCAUGUGGGAUCAAGGAAGGUACUUGGUGUUCAGGAAGAAACAGCACCGAAGCAGUAGUAAUGCAGGGCCCAGAAAGAAAAGUCACCCGACCCCAGGAAAGUCACUGAACUUUGCCGAAGCACCACCAAGACUUUUCUCACCUACCUCCUCAAUGUGGUGAAGAGUAGAGGAGGUACCGGGGCAUCUGGGUGGCUCAGUCUAGGCGUCUGACUUCUGGUCAGGUCAUGAUCUCACCGUUGGUGGGUUGGAGCCUCUUGUAGGACCUCAGGUACGGCUCUGUGCUGACAGCUCAGAGCCUGGAGCCUGCUUUGGAUUCUGUGUCUCCCUCUUUCCCUGCCCCUCCCUUGCUCAUGCUCUGUCUCUCAAAAUAAAUAAACAUUAAAAAAAUUUUAUUAAAAAAAAAAAAAAGAGGGGGCGCCUGGGUGGCUCAGUCGGUUAAGUGGCCGACUUCGGCUCAGGUCAUGAUCUCACGGUCCAUGAGUUCGACCCCCGCGUCGGGCUCUGUGCUGACAGCUCAGAGCCUGGACCCUGUUUCAGAUUCUGUGUCUCCCUCUCUCUGACCCUCCCCUGUUCAUGCUCUGUCUCUCCCUGUCUCAAAAAUAAAUAAAAUGUUAAAACAAAUUAAAAAAAAAAAAAAAAAGAGUAAAAGAGGUACCAUGUGGUAUGUUUCUAGCACAGAACCGGGCACAAAAUCAAUGUCAUUGCCAUCAUUGCUGUUGCUAUUAUUUACGAAUCCCCAAGCAGUGUCCAUUUAGGAGUAUUUGAAACCAGAUAAACAGACAUUUUCCAGCCUUUAGUUUUCUUGUUCAGUUUUGUUUUUGGUUAGGUUCCAUUUUGAUAAAUGAAAAAUCUUACCUCGCUGUCUCAACUAGGGUUGAGUUAUGUUCCCCUGGGUGGGACUAUCCCUGGGAAUCCCUAAAGAAUCUGUCUUUUUAGGGGCGCCUGGGUGGCUCAGUCAGUUGAGCGUCCGACUUCGGCUCAGGUCACGAUCUCACGGUCCGUGAGUUCGAGCCCCGCAUCGGGCUCUGUGCUGACAGCUUGGAGCCUGAAGCCUGCUUCCAAUUCUGUGUCUCCCUCUCUCUCUGACCCUCCCCCGUUCAU
Molecule: long non-coding RNA, 1748 nt
Organism: Neofelis nebulosa (Clouded leopard)
Lineage: Eukaryota; Metazoa; Chordata; Mammalia; Carnivora; Felidae
Exons: 3
Source: RefSeq, a predicted model, not a curated record